CUGGUGAAUUGCAUAAACUCUUUCCAAAGCGGUCGGGAUUGUCCCUCCCCACUGCAUUUGACAGAUAAAUCAAACAUGCAACUUAAAGCUAAAACACAUCAGACUUUGGAGUUAGUAGGUAAAACAAACCAGCACCAUCAUCUGUCAAUGCCACCAAAACAGAAACAUUCUUCACCUGUUCAACAUGAAAAGAGGACCGGGUUCCUGCUUAUCUCCUGCUGAGCAAGUGAGUAAUGUGAAAUCAGCCAUGGGGAAGCCUGCCACGGUCUCAGAACAGGCUCCUCUGCUCUGUGUGGUGCCCUUGGCAACACAACAGAAGGCUGGGGGGAGCUGGGAGAGGCCUGACCGAGGACAAGGAAAGAAUGGCAUGAAAUACGAUGCAGCUGCUGAACUUUCUUUUCAUUAACUUUAAAUUAUAUCAAUUUCUAGACUUUUGGAUACCUACAGAAAGGAGAAAAAAAAAACACUGAAGAGACAAGCUGUCUGCUUUUAACCUAACUCAAAUUGAGCAAUAAUGAAAGUGACUCAGCCUGGUGCAGAAAGACAGGACCACCACUAUCCCUGCUACCCACCUUUCAAUUUUAUUUAGCUAGAAGUUUCCAUUUCAGCUCUCCUCCUCCAAGACCAGAAAAACACAGCUCCAGAAGGAGGCAGUCCCCACAGCUGGCUCUUCUGCCCAGCCUUGCCCCUACCUGGAGCCAUCAUUUCAGCUUGCCUAUUCAUGCUGUCCCAAAGCUCAUCUACCAGACAUGGCCAGUAGCGCCUGGAUCAUUAAAUUAUUUUUGUACUCCAUUAUCCAAGCAUCUUUUAGGGAAGAGGUGACUAGGAAGCUGUUUCUUGGCUAUACUAAGCCAGCAAAGAUUGGGGUGGAUGGAUGGGAAUGUGGUAGGUGGAAGGGUGGGUAUUAUCUCUCCUUGCCAGAUCCCCAAGUGUUCAAGGUAUUAGCCUUCCAUGCCCUUAACUGAUCUUAGCCCCGAGGUGCCUUUUAUUAUAACUGGAUCUACAGGUCUUUGAAUGCUCUGAAGUUUUCCAGAAUAAUUGUGCCUCUUUGUUGUUUAGUGGCUCAGUCGUGUCCAAGUCUUUGCAACCUCAUGGGCUGUAUCCCACCAGGCUCCUCUGUCCACGGGAUUUUCCAGGCAAGAAUACUGGAGUAGGUUGCCAUUUCCUCCUUUAGGGGAUCUUCCAGACCCAGGGGUCAAAUCCUGCCACGUCUCCUGAAUUGCAGGACAUUGGCACCAAGCUGGAAGAUCCAGUCAAUGAAAGGACUUGAACAAGUAAAUGUUUUGGGGGUGUUGACCUAUGAAACUUCUUUAAAUACUCCUUUUUCUAUGUCACUUUCUUUCUUUUCUUUAUUUCCUUCUUCCUUUCCUUUCUUUCAAAACUUUUACUGAAAGGAAAAUCUGACAGAAAAUAUUUUCUAUUAUGAACUGUGAUUGUGUCUAAUAAAGCUAAAAUUACAUAAUGCUAUUCUUGUAAAAAGAUGAAGUUUUAAACACCUAGUGAUUAGAGGCAUUUUUCAGACUAUAGGUAAACAGAGACUCCAUAUCCACAGAAUUUCUUGUUGUUUAAAGCAAAUAUGUACAAAAGUCAAACACAUACCUUUUUAUAAAACAAAGUUAACAUUUGAAGAAAGACUGUGAUGGACUCAAGCA
This is a long non-coding RNA of Bos taurus (domestic cattle), 1652 nucleotides long. Lineage: Eukaryota; Metazoa; Chordata; Mammalia; Artiodactyla; Bovidae. The record is from Ensembl.